UAGUGAAAGGGCGAAGCCUGACCGCAAUGCCGCGUGCAGGAAGAAGGCCUUCGGGUUGUAAACUGCUUUUGUACGGAACGAAACGGUCUGCCCUAAUACGGCGGGCUAAUGACGGUACCGUAAGAAUAAGCACCGGCUAACUACGUGCCAGCAGCCGCGGUAAUACGUAGGGUGCGAGCGUUAAUCGGAAUUACUGGGCGUAAAGCGUGCGCAGGCGGUUAUGUAAGACAGUUGUGAAAUCCCCGGGCUCAACCUGGGAAUUGCAUUUGUGACUGCAUAGCUAGAGUACGGUAGAGGGGGAUGGAAUCCCGCGUGUAGCAGUGGGGGGGGUAGAUAUGCGGAGGAACACCGAUGGCGAAGGCAAUCCCCUGGACCUGUACUGACGCUCAUGCACGAAAG
Molecule: ribosomal RNA, 399 nt
Filed under: uncultured bacterium
Lineage: Bacteria
Description: bacterial SSU rRNA
Rfam family: Bacterial small subunit ribosomal RNA
Source: RNAcentral